RNAcentral lists this transfer RNA (72 nucleotides) under Selaginella moellendorffii. RNAcentral describes it as "tRNA tRNA-Gly". It matches the Rfam family "tRNA". Rfam says of the family: Transfer RNA (tRNA) molecules are approximately 80 nucleotides in length. Their secondary structure includes four short double-helical elements and three loops (D, anti-codon, and T loops). Further hydrogen bonds mediate the characteristic L-shaped molecular structure. tRNAs have two regions of fundamental functional importance: the anti-codon, which is responsible for specific mRNA codon recognition, and the 3' end, to which the tRNAs corresponding amino acid is attached (by aminoacyl-tRNA synthetases). tRNAs cope with the degeneracy of the genetic code in two manners: having more than one tRNA (with a specific anti-codon) for a particular amino acid; and 'wobble' base-pairing, i.e. permitting non-standard base-pairing at the 3rd anti-codon position. The record is from Rfam by way of RNAcentral. Lineage: Eukaryota; Viridiplantae; Streptophyta; Lycopodiopsida; Selaginellales; Selaginellaceae.
GCAUCAGUAGUCCAACGGGUAGGAUAAUUGCCUUCCAAGCAAUAGACCCGGGUUCGACUCCCGGCUGAUGCA